RNAcentral lists this ribosomal RNA (875 nucleotides) under uncultured Bacteroidota bacterium. RNAcentral's name for it is "bacterial SSU rRNA". It matches the Rfam family "Bacterial small subunit ribosomal RNA", at positions 51 to 916 of the family's 1533-position model. Lineage: Bacteria; Pseudomonadati; Bacteroidota. The record is from RNAcentral.
ACACAUGCAAGUCGAGGGGAAACGAUAUUGGAAGCUUGCUUCCGAUAGGCGUCGACCGGCGCACGGGUGAGUAACGCGUAUCCAACCUGCCCAUCACUUGGGGAUAACCUUGCGAAAGUAAGACUAAUACCCAAUGAUAUCUCUAGAAGACAUCUGAAAGGGAUUAAAGAUUUAUCGGUGAUGGAUGGGGAUGCGUCUGAUUAGCUUGUUGGCGGGGUAACGGCCCACCAAGGCGACGAUCAGUAGGGGUUCUGAGAGGAAGGUCCCCCACAUUGGAACUGAGACACGGUCCAAACUCCUACGGGAGGCAGCAGUGAGGAAUAUUGGUCAAUGGGCGAGAGCCUGAACCAGCCAAGUAGCGUGCAGGAUGACGGCCCUAUGGGUUGUAAACUGCUUUUAUAAGGGAAUAAAGUGAGCCUCGUGAGGCUUUUUGCAUGUACCUUAUGAAUAAGGACCGGCUAAUUCCGUGCCAGCAGCCGCGGUAAUACGGAAGGUCCGGGCGUUAUCCGGAUUUAUUGGGUUUAAAGGGAGCGUAGGCCGGAGAUUAAGCGUGUUGUGAAAUGUAGAUGCUCAACAUCUGCACUGCAGCGCGAACUGGUUUCCUUGAGUACGCACAAAGUGGGCGGAAUUCGUGGUGUAGCGGUGAGAUGCUUAGAUAUCACGAAGAACUCCGAUUGCGAAGGCAGCUCACUGGAGCGCAACUGACGCUGAAGCUCGAAAGUGCGGGUAUCGAACAGGAUUAGAUACCCUGGUAGUCCGCACGGUAAACGAUGGAUGCCCGCUGUUGGUCUGAAUAGGUCAGCGGCCAAGCGAAAGCAUUAAGCAUCCCACCUGGGGAGUACGCCGGCAACGGUGCAACUCAAAGGAAUUGACGG